Molecule: ribosomal RNA, 127 nt
Filed under: Ligula intestinalis
Lineage: Eukaryota; Metazoa; Platyhelminthes; Cestoda; Diphyllobothriidea; Diphyllobothriidae
Also listed under: 15 other names
Description: partial 5.8S ribosomal RNA
Rfam family: 5.8S ribosomal RNA
About the family: 5.8S ribosomal RNA (5.8S rRNA) is a component of the large subunit of the eukaryotic ribosome. It is transcribed by RNA polymerase I as part of the 45S precursor that also contains 18S and 28S rRNA. Functionally, it is thought that 5.8S rRNA may be involved in ribosome translocation.
Source: RNAcentral
GUGUCGAUGAAGAGCGCAGCCAACUGUGUGAAUUAAUGUGAAUCGCAGACUGCUUUGAACAUCGACCUCUUGAACGCACAUUGCGGCCGUAGGCUUGCCUACGGCCACGUCUGGCCGAGGGUCGGCU